CUGGCGUGCAUGAGACAUGCAAGUCGAACGGGUGACUCGGAGCUUGCUCUGAGUCGCUAGUGGCGGACGGCUGAGUAACGCGUAGGUGACCUGCCCCGAAGUGGGGAAUAACUGCCCGAAAGGGUGGCUAAUACCGCAUGUGGUCGUUCAUUCAAUUGAUCGAUCAAAGCAGUAAUGCGCUUUGGGAGGGGCCUGCGUCCGAUUAGCUCGUUGGUGGGGUAAUGGCUCACCAAGGCGACGAUCGGUAGGUGGUCUGAGAGGACGAUCACCCAGACUGGGACUGAGACACGGUCCAGACUCCUACGGGAGGCAGCAGUCGGGAAUUUUGCUCAAUGGGCGCAAGCCUGAAGCAGCAACGCCGCGUGAGGGAUGAAGGCCUUCGGGUUGUAAACCUCUUUUCUCAGGGACGAUUAUGACGGUACCUGAGGAAUAAGCCACGGCUAACUACGUGCCAGCCGCCGCGGUAA
This 467-nucleotide ribosomal RNA is filed under the name uncultured bacterium. RNAcentral's name for it is "partial 16S ribosomal RNA". It matches the Rfam family "Bacterial small subunit ribosomal RNA", at positions 39 to 523 of the family's 1533-position model. The record is from RNAcentral.